RNAcentral lists this ribosomal RNA (495 nucleotides) under uncultured bacterium. RNAcentral describes it as "partial 16S ribosomal RNA". It matches the Rfam family "Bacterial small subunit ribosomal RNA", at positions 28 to 507 of the family's 1533-position model. The record is from RNAcentral.
GACGAACGCUGGCGGCGUGCCUAAUACAUGCAAGUAGAACGCUGAAGGAGGAGCUUGCUUCUCCGGAUGAGUUGCGAACGGGUGAGUAACGCGUAGGUAACCUGCCUGGUAGCGGGGGAUAACUAUUGGAAACGAUAGCUAAUACCGCAUAAGAGUAGAUGUCGCAUGACAUUUGCUUAAAAGGUGCAACUGCACCACUACCAGAUGGACCUGCGUUGUAUUAGCUAGUUGGUGAGGUAACGGCUCACCAAGGCAACGAUACAUAGCCGACCUGAGAGGGUGAUCGGCCACACUGGGACUGAGACACGGCCCAGACUCCUACGGGAGGCAGCAGUAGGGAAUCUUCGGCAAUAGACGGAAGUCUGACCGAGCAACGCCGCGUGAGUGAAGAAGGUUUUCGGAUCGUAAAGCUCUGUUGUAAGAGAAGAACGAGUGUGAGAGUGGAAAGUUCACACUGUGACGGUAGCUUACCAGAAAGGGACGGCUAACUACGUG